UACUAUAGCUUGACACUGAACAUUGAGCCUUGAUGUGUAGGAUAGGUGGGAGGCUUUGAAGCGUGGACGCCAGUCUGCGUGGAGCCAACCUUGAAAUACCACCCUUUAAUGUUUGAUGUUCUAACGUUGGCCCCUGACCGGGGUUGCGGACAGUGUCUGGUGGGUAGUUUGACUGGGGCGGUCUCCUCCCAAAGCGUAACGGAGGAGCACGAAGGUUAGCUAAUCCUGGUCGGACAUCAGGAGGUUAGUGCAAUGGCAUAAGC
This 263-nucleotide ribosomal RNA is filed under the name Klebsiella pneumoniae. RNAcentral describes it as "partial 23S ribosomal RNA". It matches the Rfam family "Bacterial large subunit ribosomal RNA", at positions 2102 to 2364 of the family's 2925-position model. The record is from RNAcentral. Lineage: Bacteria; Pseudomonadati; Pseudomonadota; Gammaproteobacteria; Enterobacterales; Enterobacteriaceae.